AGCGCACGCCUGAUAAGCGUGAGGUCGAUGGUUCGAGUCCAUUUAGGCCCAUAUUUGGGGAAUUAGCUCAGAUGGGAGAGCACCUGCUUUGCAAGCAGGGGGUCAGCGGUUCGAUCCCGCUAUUCUCCAUUGCCGACCGACAGGUUGGCAGGACUUGUACUUUGAAAACUAAAUAAUAUCGAAAUAAUUUUUUAAAACAACCGAGAACACCGCGUUAUUUGAGUUUUUUAAUAAUGUAGUUAGAUUGCAUCGCGUAAUACUCAAUUAAUCUGUGAUACCACGUAGUGGUAUGACAAGGUUAAGUUAUAAAGGGCGCAUGGUGAAUGCCUUGGUACUAGGAGCCGAUGAAGGACGUUACUAACAACGAUAUGCUUCGGGGAGCGGUAAGUACGCUUUGAUCCGGAGAUUUCCGAAUGGGGAAACCCAGCUAAUUUAAUCGUUAGUUACUGGUCAGUGAAUACAUAGCUGAGCAGAGGUAGACGCAGUGAACUGAAACAUCUAAGUAGCUGCAGGAAGAGAAAGAAAAAUCGAUUCCCUGAGUAGCGGCGAGCGAAACGGGAAGAGCCCAAACCAACGAGCUUGCUUGUUGGGGUUGUAGGACUGAACAUUUGAGUUACCAAAGUAAGACGUAGUCGAAUCAGCUGGGAAGCUGAACCAGAGCGGGUGAUAGUCCCGUAGACGAAACGUGUUACUCUCAGUUCAGGAUCCUGAGUACGGCGGAACACGUGAAAUUCCGUCGGAAUCCGGGAGGACCAUCUCCCAAGGCUAAAUACUCCCUAGUGACCGAUAGUGAA
This 794-nucleotide small RNA is filed under the name Paucilactobacillus suebicus. RNAcentral describes it as "bacterial LSU rRNA". The stretch from base 297 to 794 matches the Rfam family "Bacterial large subunit ribosomal RNA", at positions 1 to 494 of the family's 2925-position model. Lineage: Bacteria; Bacillati; Bacillota; Bacilli; Lactobacillales; Lactobacillaceae. The record is from RNAcentral.